This 323-nucleotide ribosomal RNA is filed under the name uncultured bacterium. Its description in RNAcentral is "bacterial SSU rRNA". It matches the Rfam family "Bacterial small subunit ribosomal RNA", at positions 28 to 353 of the family's 1533-position model. The record is from RNAcentral.
GACGAACGCUGGCGGCGUGCUUAACACAUGCAAGUCGAGCGGUAAGGCCCUUUCGGGGGUACACGAGCGGCGAACGGGUGAGUAACACGUGGGUGACCUGCCUUUAGCUCUGGGAUAAGCCUGGGAAACUGGGUCUAAUACCGGAUACGACUCCGCGGUGCAUGCUGUGGGGUGGAAAGCCUUGUGCGGCUGGAGAUGGGCCCGCGGCCUAUCAGCUUGUUGGUGGGGUGAUGGCCACCAAGGCGACGACGGGUAGCCGGCCUGAGAGGGCGACCGGCCACACUGGGACUGAGACACGGCCCAGACUCCUACGGGAGGCAGCA